CGCUGGCGGUGUGCUUAACACAUGCAAGUCGAACGAGAAGAGAUGAGAAGCUUGCUUCUUAUUGAUUCGAGUGGCAAACGGGUGAGUAACGCGUAAGCAACCUGCCCCUUCAGAUGGGGGACAACAGCUGGAAAACGGCUGCUAAUACCGAAUACGUUCUUUUUGUCGCAUGGCAGAGGGAAGAAAGGGAGGCUCUUCGGAGCCUUCGCUGAAGAGGGGUUUGCGUCUGAUUAGGUAGUUGGUGAGGUAACGGCCCACCAAGCCGACGAUCAGUAGCCGGACUGAGAGGUUGACCGGCCACAUUGGGACUGAGAUACGGCCCAGACUCCUACGGGGAGGCAGCAGGUGGGGAAUAUUGGGCAAUGGACGCAAGUCUCGACCCAGCAACGCCGCGUGAAGAAAGAAGGCUUUCGGGUUGUAAACUUCUUUUGUCAGGGAAGAGCAGAAGACGGUACCUGACGAAUAAGCCACGGCUAACUACGUG
Molecule: ribosomal RNA, 484 nt
Filed under: uncultured bacterium
Lineage: Bacteria
Description: bacterial SSU rRNA
Rfam family: Bacterial small subunit ribosomal RNA
Source: RNAcentral